AUAUUACUCCCUCCGUUCCGAAUUACUUGUCGCAGGUAUGGAUGUAUCUAGAUGUAUUUUAGUUCUAGAUACAUCCAUUUCUGCGAGGAGUAAUUUGGAACGGAGGGAGUAUUUG
This is a non-coding RNA of Triticum aestivum (bread wheat), 115 nucleotides long. The record is from Rfam. NCBI's taxonomy places the organism in Eukaryota, Viridiplantae, Streptophyta, Magnoliopsida, Poales, Poaceae.